GAUGAACGCUGGCGGCGUGCCUAAUACAUGCAAGUCGAGCGAAUGGAUUAAGAGCUUGCUCUUAUGAAGUUAGCGGCGGACGGGUGAGUAACACGUGGGUAACCUGCCCAUAAGACUGGGAUAACUCCGGGAAACCGGGGCUAAUACCGGAUAACAUUUUGAACCGCAUGGUUCGAAAUUGAAAGGCGGCUUCGGCUGUCACUUAUGGAUGGACCCGCGUCGCAUUAGCUAGUUGGUGAGGUAACGGCUCACCAAAGCAACGAUGCGUAGCCGACCUGAGAGGGUGAUCGGGCACACUGGGACUGAGACACGGCCCAGACUCCUACGGGAGGCAGCAGUAGGGAAUCUUCCGCAAUGGACGAAAGUCUGACGGAGCAACGCCGCGUGAGUGAUGAAGGCUUUCGGGUCGUAAAACUCUGUUGUUAGGGAAGAACAAGUGCUAGUUGAAUAAGCUGGCACCAUGACGGUACCUAACCAGAAAGCCACGGCUAACUACGUGCCAGCCGCCGCGGUAA
This 515-nucleotide ribosomal RNA is filed under the name uncultured bacterium. Its description in RNAcentral is "partial 16S ribosomal RNA". It matches the Rfam family "Bacterial small subunit ribosomal RNA", at positions 28 to 523 of the family's 1533-position model. The record is from RNAcentral.